CCUACGGGUGGCUGCAGUGGGGAAUAUUGGACAAUGGGGGCAACCCUGAUCCGGCCAUGCCGCGUGUGUGAAGAAGGCCCUCGGGUUGUAAAGCACUUUCAGUGAGGAAGAACGCCUGGUGGUUAAUACCCAUCAGGAAAGACAUCACUCACAGAAGAAGCACCGGCUAACUCCGUGCCAGCAGCCGCGGUAAUACGGAGGGUGCGAGCGUUAAUCGGAAUUACUGGGCGUAAAGCGCGCGUAGGUGGCUUGAUAAGCCGGUUGUGAAAGCCCCGGGCUCAACCUGGGAACGGCAUCCGGAACUGUCAAGCUAGAGUGCAGGAGAGGAAGGUAGAAUUCCCGGUGUAGCGGUGAAAUGCGUAGAGAUCGGGAGGAAUACCAGUGGCGAAGGCGGCCUUCUGGACUGACACUGACACUGAGGUGCGAAAGCGUGGGUAGCAAACAGGAUUAGAUACCCGAGUAGUC
Molecule: ribosomal RNA, 465 nt
Filed under: Vreelandella stevensii
Lineage: Bacteria; Pseudomonadati; Pseudomonadota; Gammaproteobacteria; Oceanospirillales; Halomonadaceae
Description: partial 16S ribosomal RNA
Rfam family: Bacterial small subunit ribosomal RNA
Source: RNAcentral